Molecule: non-coding RNA, 58 nt
Organism: Dipodomys ordii (Ord's kangaroo rat)
Lineage: Eukaryota; Metazoa; Chordata; Mammalia; Rodentia; Heteromyidae
Source: Rfam
UGGCUCAGUGGUAGAGCGCAUGCCUUGCAUGCCUGAGGCCCUGGGUUCGAUUCCUCAG